GCAGUCGUGGCCGAGUGGUUAAGGCGAUGGAGUAGAAAUCUGUUGGGGUCUCCCCGCAUAGGUUCGAAUCGACUGCG
This 77-nucleotide transfer RNA is filed under the name Ixodes scapularis (black-legged tick). Its description in RNAcentral is "tRNA-Ser". It matches the Rfam family "tRNA". From Rfam's summary of the family: Transfer RNA (tRNA) molecules are approximately 80 nucleotides in length. Their secondary structure includes four short double-helical elements and three loops (D, anti-codon, and T loops). Lineage: Eukaryota; Metazoa; Arthropoda; Arachnida; Ixodida; Ixodidae. The record is from RNAcentral.